This 90-nucleotide small RNA is filed under the name Flavobacterium sp. A45. RNAcentral describes it as "Flavo-1 RNA". It matches the Rfam family "Flavo-1 RNA". The record is from Rfam by way of RNAcentral. Lineage: Bacteria; Pseudomonadati; Bacteroidota; Flavobacteriia; Flavobacteriales; Flavobacteriaceae.
UUUUUGCGAGAGUGAUGGAAGUGGAGCUCUUUUUUUGAGAGACUUUUUCAGUCUAUCAAAAAAAAGCGGGAACGGACAGCACGACCCGGA